UUGAGGUUGAAGAGGCGCUGUUUGCGCCUUCUUCACCACACUGUCUGUGGGUGGACCAUUUCAAUUUGUCCGUGAUGUGUACGCAAUGGAACUUAAAACUUUCCACCUUCUCCACUAGAAGUCCUCAGACUUCUUCUUUGCCAGCUCUUACCCCUUUCUUCUUCUCUUCAAGCUCUUUCUGUUUUUCCACCUUAAAUGUAUCCUCUUCACUUUCAUCUGUCAUGUCCCAAUCACUCAGUUCCGUCUCAACCUCUGUUGCAGUCUGCUCUUCUGGCUUUGUCUCUAUUACUGUUCAUUCUCAGACGUCUUAUUCCCCUCUUAUCAUUCGCUUAUUCUCAAUCUUCUUCUCCAUCUCUAUUUCCCUCAGCCUGUUUUGUGGCCACCUUUUUCUCUACUCUCUCUGCCACUCCUCUUUUCCUCUUCCAUCUCUUUCUGGCUGACACUCUAGCAGUCUUUCUGUUACUUUUGUCAGACUCGAUGCCUCACUUUCAAUAUCGCUGUCUGUAUCAGUUUCAUUUGAGGUAUGGUCUAGUGCUGUAAAUGAGAAGUGUUUGCUAUUAGCUAUUAGUUAAAUACCACAGAGGGUUCCUAUCUGCUGUGAACCUCCAUCCUUAGUGUCUUUCUCUUUAUCCUGAUCUGCACAGCUUCUCCUCCAUCUCUUUCCUCUCAACCUGUUUUGUGGCCUCCACUUUCUCUGCUCUUACUGCCUCUUCGCUCCUCCUUUCCUCUUCCAUUUCUUUCUGGCUGACAUUCUCUUUCUCCAUCUUUCUGUUCUCUUCGAUCAGACGAGCUGCCUCACUUUUGAUCACUUUCCACUCCUCACCAUUCUGCGUUAUCUCCUCAAUUGGUCUCUGUGUAAGAGAAGGGGUAUAGACAGAGAGAGAAAGAGAGAGGACAAAAUGGAUAUUAACCCUUGUGUGGUGUUCGGGCCCGUGGGACACACAUUCAAUGUUUAAAAGUAAAUUAUACAAUUAGUUAUUUUUUCAACCUGGCUUGGCCUUGGCUAAUUUUCAUUGAGUGCACACUGUGCACCCCCCUACACAUUUAUAUUACAUAUGAGGUCUUUGGGUCCCCUGGAGGGUAAUAAAAGUGUGUGUAGGUGAAAUCAAGUAAAAAAUUUAACAAAAAGGUUUGCUGUGUGCCUUCACUCUGUCUUCCUCCUCCCUGGGCCUGCUGUUUCAACAUAGAUAGGUUAUUGGUGCUAUCUCCCACUUUUCCCGCACUCUUUACCCUUUGUAGUGUGUGAACCUGCACAAUGUUAUUACAAUACAUUAUUUCGAUACAUUGUAAAAAAAUAAAUAAUAAUAAAAUAAACUCAGUAUUUUUACAGAGAGAGAGGCUAGGGUGGAAGGAGCGUCUUCCACUCUGGAAGAUGAAGAAUUUUCAGAAUAUGAGGAUCAUGUCUGCCAGUGAGUUGAAAGAAGAGGAUGAGAUUGACCCUCAGCCAGCCCCAGGACCAGCCCAUCAGCAGCCAGGACCAGCCCAUCAGCAGCCAGCCCCAGGACCAGCCUGUCAGCAGCCAGCCCCAGGACCAAACUCAUUUACAUGCAUACUUUUGGGUUCUUAUUCUUGCUGGUGUUUUCAGAUCCAAUGGGAAAUUCACAGAAUCCCUGUGGGAUGCAGAAACUGACAGAGAACUUUUCCGUUCAACGAUGUCUGGAAAACGUCCACAUUAUUUCCAGGAGUAUCAGCUUCGAUAACCGAGACACCAGACCAGCUCGGCGGCAGAGGGACAAGCUAGCUGCAGUCAGGUCAGUGUGGGACAAGUGGGUGGACCGCCUUUCCCUGUUUUACAACCCUAGGCCCAACAUUACUGUUGAGCAGCAUAUGCCAUUUAGGAGCCACUGCCCCUUCAGGCAGUACAUACUGCAUCAUAUGCAUGGAACUUGCACAUGUAUACGGGGAAGCCAGAUGGAGGAGCCCCUGAGAAGAACCAAGGGAUGCAGGUUGUCCUGGACAUGACACAGGGACUCCAUGGCCACAACAUCACAUGCGCUAACAUUUUUACUUCUCACAAGCUGGGACAGGAGCUCCUCAAGAGGAAGCUGACGAUGGUAGGAAUAGUACAAAAGGCCUAUCAAUUCCUCUAAGUUUGUGUUCCCUAGCGUCCUACGCUCCAAAGAAAGGCAUAAAUGUGGUACUCAUGAGUACACUGCAUGGUGAUGGGAGAAACUGUCCAGGAACAUCAAAAACAGAAAUCAUAAUGGAUUACAAUGCCACAAAACGAGGGGUGGACAAUUAAGACAUGCUUGUGACUGGCCACAGCUGCAAAAGAAGAACCCUACUCUGGCCACUUGGACAUCUCGCGUUUCUCAUCUGGAUGGCGUUGAACCUAGAUUGGAACAGAGGAGACGGCUCUUUCUCGAGGAGCUGGGACCUAAAAUCCAGAGAAGGCAACAUAUCCCAAGGACCCCAGCUUCUGCAGCCAUCCUGAGGAGGAUUCAGGAGGAGGAUGCUGGUUCCCCAUCCGCCCGACCCACAGAACCAACAACUCCAAUACCGCAAAUGCACUGAAAUUCAUUGGAAUGACUGAAAAGAUGGUAGAAAGUCGUCUGAACGAAGACGUUGAAAGCUGUGGGAGCGAAGACUUUGAAAAGACGAUGGCAUCCUGACCACGUCUACUGGGGGUAGCUUUCUUUACUGUACUACGGGACCUGAUUCACAUUCCAUACAAA
Molecule: long non-coding RNA, 2675 nt
Organism: Oncorhynchus gorbuscha (pink salmon)
Lineage: Eukaryota; Metazoa; Chordata; Actinopteri; Salmoniformes; Salmonidae
Exons: 2
Source: RefSeq, a predicted model, not a curated record